AGUGAACGCUGGCGGUAGGCCUAACACAUGCAAGUCGAACGGCAGCACAGUAAGAGCUUGCUCUUACGGGUGGCGAGUGGCGGACGGGUGAGGAAUACAUCGGAAUCUACUUUUUCGUGGGGGAUAACGUAGGGAAACUUGCGCUAAUACCGCAUACGACCUACGGGUGAAAGCAGGGGAUCUUCGGACCUUGCGCGAUUGAAUGAGCCGAUGUCGGAUUAGCUAGUUGGCGGGGUAAAGGCCCACCAAGGUGACGAUCCGUAGCUGGUCUGAGAGGAUGAUAAGCCACACUGGAACUGAGACACGGUCCAGACUCCUACGGGAGGCAGCAGUGGGGAAUAUUGGACAAUGGGCGCAAGCCUGAUCCAGCCAUACCGAGUGGGUGAAGAAGGCCUUCGGGUUGUAAAGCCCUUUUGUUGGGAAAGAAAAGCAGCAGGUUAAUACCCCGCUGUUCUGACGGUACCCAAAGAAUAAGCACCGGCUAACUUCGUG
This 492-nucleotide ribosomal RNA is filed under the name uncultured bacterium. Its description in RNAcentral is "partial 16S ribosomal RNA". It matches the Rfam family "Bacterial small subunit ribosomal RNA", at positions 29 to 507 of the family's 1533-position model. The record is from RNAcentral.